AAAUAUAAAAGUUGUCAAUUAUUAUUAUGAUUAUUUUAAACGGGUCAAUUUUAAAUAAAGUUUUAAUUUGGAUCAAAAUUGAAAUUUUAGGGUCAAAACUUUAAAAAUCCAAUUUGAAACCCUUAAAUUUCAAUUCAAAACAAUUUUUGAAAUUUGCAAUCUGACCCCUAGGUUUAAAAUUAUUAGCAGGCCUUUUAGUUAUAUAAAUUAAAUGACAUGCCCCCUUUAAAAUUUGCAAAACAGGCCCUUUUUCGUUUAAUUGCAUGUGGGGUAUCACAAGUAUGUUAUUUACAUUGAAAGCCCCCUUCUCCAUAUAUGUAGCUCGUUUUGCAGAAGACCAGAUUUCUUUUUCUACGGCGCCGACCACAUCGGGCGUUGCAACGAACGGCCGAACUAAAACCUUAAAACCACCAUUUAUUUCUCCUCCAACAACAUCAAUUCUCAUCCCAAUUGAUUCAUAAAAAAAAAUGAAAAAUCGACAAAAAUAAAUAAAAAGAGGAAAAGCCAACAGUCAACUUUGAUAGUAAUGUCAAAACCAAAAUCAAUUGGCAAGUGAAAAACACCACUACCGCUGGCAGCAGAGCAGCCUAGAUCUGUUCCUCAAAUAAUUUGUUUUUGUUCAGCCGUUGAGAAGAGCAGCCUAGAUCUGCUCCUCAAAUAAUUUGUUUUUGUUCAGCCGUUGAGAAGUAGAGAAGAGAGAGAGAGAGAGAGAGAGAAAACUUGAUUUAUGGCCUUGGUUUGAUUUCUUUUCAUAUAUUAAUAUAUAUAAUGCAUUUAAGCACAGAAUUCAUAACACACAUUGAUGCACAGAACUCGUGGAAAGUUGACCCUUUUCCCAAAUUUUUUUUUUUUUUGAUAUAGUGUUUAACAAAGUUUAAAAUAAUCGAGAUAGAAUAUUAUUUUUAUGAAGGAUUCCGAUCUUAACAUGAAGGCUCUGAUACCAAUUGUUAAUAUUUAUUUGUAAUCAUGCCAAAAAUCAAGAAUCACCACAUAAUAAAUUAAUAAAACGAAUUCAUACCUGCGGAAGCCAUUGUUGAUAUGAAUAAUUGUUGUAAUAGCAGCCAAGAUCUUCCCAUCCUUGCUCCUCACAAAAGUAUUAGCUAUCAAUGG
Molecule: long non-coding RNA, 1110 nt
Filed under: Olea europaea subsp. europaea
Lineage: Eukaryota; Viridiplantae; Streptophyta; Magnoliopsida; Lamiales; Oleaceae
Source: RNAcentral